GAUGAACGCUGGCGGCGUGCCUAAUACAUGCAAGUCGAGCGAACGGACGAGAAGCUUGCUUCUCUGAUGUUAGCGGCGGACGGGUGAGUAACACGUGGAUAACCUACCUAUAAGACUGGGAUAACUUCGGGAAACCGUAGCUAAUACCGGAUAAUAUUUUGAACCGCAUGGUUCAAAAGUGAAAGACGGUCUUGCUGUCACCUAUAGAUGGAUCCGCGCUGCAUUAGCUAGUUGGUAAGGUAACGGCUUACCAAGGCAACGAUGCAUAGCCGACCUGAGAGGGUGAUCGGCCACACUGGAACUGAGACACGGUCCAGACUCCUACGGGAGGCAGCAGUAGGGAAUCUUCCGCAAUGGGCGAAAGCCUGACGGAGCAACGCCGCGUGAGUGAUGAAGGUCUUCGGAUCGUAAAACUCUGUUAUUAGGGAAGAACAUAUGUGUAAGUAACUGUGCACAUCUUGACGGUACCGAAUCAGAAAGCCACGGCUAACUACGUG
Molecule: ribosomal RNA, 497 nt
Filed under: uncultured bacterium
Lineage: Bacteria
Description: partial 16S ribosomal RNA
Rfam family: Bacterial small subunit ribosomal RNA
Source: RNAcentral